CCGACCCUAUAAAAUGGAGCCCACAAUCCCUCCACACGGCGAGGAAAAAGGUAAGAAAAAGAAACAAAACUCAGAAUGAACAUAGCAUCAAAACAAAACACAGCUGUAAUGUAACAAUACAAAACAAACAGUGUCAGGUCAGCAUUCAACAACACACGGAAACAACGAAACUGAAACCAAAACUAAAAAAAGUCAAUAAGGGCAACCUUUGCCUUUUACAAUUCCAUUUCUUCCUUUCUUUCUUUGCAAAAACAAAACGACUUCAAGAGACGACUUUUUUCCUCUCUACAUAAACUGUUAUAAUACUAAUUUUCAUCAUCUUUUAUAUUCUAUCUGUUCUUCUUUCUGUUUUUAUCAACAAUCAAACACCACCCAGAUCUUCCUUUUCCUUUUUUCCGGGGGAAUUUUCAUUUUUAAUAG
This 420-nucleotide long non-coding RNA is filed under the name Trifolium pratense (red clover). Its description in RNAcentral is "long non-coding RNA (TPRA_LNC010912)". Lineage: Eukaryota; Viridiplantae; Streptophyta; Magnoliopsida; Fabales; Fabaceae. The record is from RNAcentral.